RNAcentral lists this microRNA precursor (134 nucleotides) under Puccinia graminis f. sp. tritici CRL 75-36-700-3. RNAcentral's name for it is "microRNA MIR807". The record is from RNAcentral. Lineage: Eukaryota; Fungi; Basidiomycota; Pucciniomycetes; Pucciniales; Pucciniaceae.
AGCCUCAUUGACCGGAAGGGAUUCCUUCCGGUUGAUGAGGUUUAGCUUCCUCAUUGACCGGAGGAGAGUCCUUCCGGUUGAUGAGGAGGCUAAGCCUCAUUGACCGGAAGGGAUUCCUUCCGGUUGAUGAGGUU